This 253-nucleotide ribosomal RNA is filed under the name uncultured bacterium. Its description in RNAcentral is "partial 16S ribosomal RNA". It matches the Rfam family "Bacterial small subunit ribosomal RNA", at positions 524 to 776 of the family's 1533-position model. The record is from RNAcentral.
UACGGAGGGUGCGAGCGUUGUCCGGAAUCACUGGGCGUAAAGGGCGCGUAGGCGGCCUGAUAAGUAGGGGGUGAAAUCCUGCGGCUUAACCGCAGGGCUGCCUUCUAAACUGUCAGGCUUGAGCACAGUAGAGGCAGGUGGAAUUCCCGUUGUAGCGGUGGAAUGCGUAGAGAUCGGGAAGAACAUCAGUGGCGAAGGCGGCCUGCUGGGCUGUUGCUUACGCUGAGGCGCGACAGCGUGGGGAGCAAACAGG